GGCCCUACGGGGCGCAGCAGGCGCGAAACCUCCGCAAUGUGAGAAAUCGCGACGGGGGGAUCCCAAGUGCCAUUCUUAACGGGAUGGCUUUUCAUUAGUGUAAAGAGCUUUUGGAAUAAGAGCUGGGCAAGACCGGUGCCAGCCGCCGCGGUAACACCGGCAGCUCUAGUGGUAGCAAUUUUUAUUGGGCCUAAA
RNAcentral lists this ribosomal RNA (195 nucleotides) under uncultured Methanobrevibacter sp. Its description in RNAcentral is "partial 16S ribosomal RNA". It matches the Rfam family "Archaeal small subunit ribosomal RNA", at positions 319 to 514 of the family's 1478-position model. Lineage: Archaea; Methanobacteriati; Methanobacteriota; Methanobacteria; Methanobacteriales; Methanobacteriaceae. The record is from RNAcentral.